RNAcentral lists this transfer RNA (66 nucleotides) under uncultured Euryhalocaulis sp. It matches the Rfam family "tRNA", at positions 6 to 65 of the family's 71-position model. Rfam says of the family: Transfer RNA (tRNA) molecules are approximately 80 nucleotides in length. Their secondary structure includes four short double-helical elements and three loops (D, anti-codon, and T loops). The record is from RNAcentral. Lineage: Bacteria; Pseudomonadati; Pseudomonadota; Alphaproteobacteria; Maricaulales; Maricaulaceae.
CGCGGUAGCUCAGUUGGUUAGAGCGCUAGAUUGUGGAUCUAGAGGUCCGGGGUUCGAGACCCUGCC